This 553-nucleotide ribosomal RNA is filed under the name uncultured freshwater bacterium. Its description in RNAcentral is "bacterial SSU rRNA". It matches the Rfam family "Bacterial small subunit ribosomal RNA", at positions 8 to 607 of the family's 1533-position model. The record is from RNAcentral.
AGAGUUUGAUCCUGGCUCAGAGCGAACGCUGGCGGCAGGCUUAACACAUGCAAGUCGAGCGGGCACUUCGGUGUCAGCGGCGGACGGGUGAGUAACGCGUGGGAACGUGCCCUCUGGUUCGGAAUAACUCAGGGAAACUUGAGCUAAUACCGGAUACGCCCUUUUGGGGAAAGGCUUGCUGCCGGAGGAUCGGCCCGCGUCUGAUUAGCUAGUUGGUGAGGUAACGGCUCACCAAGGCGACGAUCAGUAGCUGGUCUGAGAGGAUGAUCAGCCACACUGGGACUGAGACACGGCCCAGACUCCUACGGGAGGCAGCAGUGGGGAAUAUUGGACAAUGGGCGCAAGCCUGAUCCAGCCAUGCCGCGUGAGUGAUGAAGGCCUUAGGGUUGUAAAGCUCUUUUAUCCGGGACGAUAAUGACGGUACCGGAGGAAUAAGCCCCGGCUAACUUCGUGCCAGCAGCCGCGGUAAUACGAAGGGGGCUAGCGUUGCUCGGAAUCACUGGGCGUAAAGGGCGCGUAGGCGGCGUUUUAAGUCGGNGGUGAAAGCCUGUGG